UCCCUGGUGGUCCAGUGGUUAGGACUUAGUGCUUUCACUGCGGGGACCCAGGUUCAAUUCCUGGUUGGAGAA
RNAcentral lists this transfer RNA (72 nucleotides) under Ovis aries (sheep). It matches the Rfam family "tRNA". Rfam says of the family: Transfer RNA (tRNA) molecules are approximately 80 nucleotides in length. Their secondary structure includes four short double-helical elements and three loops (D, anti-codon, and T loops). Lineage: Eukaryota; Metazoa; Chordata; Mammalia; Artiodactyla; Bovidae. The record is from Rfam by way of RNAcentral.